GAUCAUGGCUCAGGAUGAACGCUGGCGGCGUGCCUAACACAUGCAAGUCGAGCGAAGCACUUUGCUUAGAUUCUUCGGAUGAAGAGGAUUGUGACUGAGCGGCGGACGGGUGAGUAACGCGUGGGUAACCUGCCUCAUACAGGGGGAUAACAGUUAGAAGUGACUGCUAAUACCGCAUAAGACCACAGCACCGCAUGGUGCGGGGGUAAAAACUCCGGUGGUACGAGAUGGACCCG
RNAcentral lists this ribosomal RNA (236 nucleotides) under uncultured bacterium. Its description in RNAcentral is "partial 16S ribosomal RNA". It matches the Rfam family "Bacterial small subunit ribosomal RNA", at positions 15 to 233 of the family's 1533-position model. The record is from RNAcentral.